RNAcentral lists this ribosomal RNA (468 nucleotides) under uncultured bacterium. RNAcentral describes it as "partial 16S ribosomal RNA". It matches the Rfam family "Bacterial small subunit ribosomal RNA", at positions 28 to 507 of the family's 1533-position model. The record is from RNAcentral.
GACGAACGCUGGCGGCGUGCCUAACACAUGCAAGUCGAACGGAAGGGCCCUGCUUUUGCGGGGUGCUCGUGUGCCGAACGCGUGAGUAACACGCGAGUAAAACCCCCUUGACUUUCGGAUAUCUUCAGGAAACUGCGUAUAAUACCGGAUAGGAGCUCCUGCUGCAUGGUGGGGGUAGGAAAGUUUCGGCGGUUCGGGCUGGACUCGCGGCUUAUGCGCUUGUUGGUGGGGUAGUGGCUUACCAAGGCUUUGACGGGUAGCCGGCCUGGGAGGGUGACCAGCCACAUUGGGACUGCGAGACGGCCCAGACUCCUACGGGAGGCAGCGGAGGGGAAUAUUACGGAGUGGGCGGAAGCCUGUUGCGACAACGCAACGUGCGGGAAGACAUCCUACGAGUUGUAAACCGCUUUCGCAGGUGACGUAGCGUGAGUGACGGUAAUGGGUAAAAAAGCACCGGCUAACUACGUG